CUCUGGAGCGCCGCACGGCCUCGGCUCCAGGCGCCUCGGAGUCCGUGGCCCCCUCGGGAGGCGUGGAGAGUGCUGAGGGUGGUGAAUCGCUCCCGGCCCGCCCACUUUUAAUGGGCAAGAGAGCGGCCCGGUAGGAAGCCUCUGCUGGGGAUGGAUGUUUGUGCGGGCCAAUCGGUGAAGGCCCGGGCGGGUCCGCACGUGCGCCUUCGCCAAUACGCGCGCAGCGGGGGUCCCGAGUGGAAGGAGAAAGUUUUCGGGGUUAAAGGGACCGCGGUGCACCCCAGGGACCCAAGCGCCGGGGUCCCAGAGACUUCAGCAGAAGGUCGGGGGUGCCAGUGCUGAGAGCCCGGCCCGCGUGAACAGACCGGGCGGCGCUGUGGAACUCCACCCCAAACAGCUUGAUCAGGGCCAGAGUUUCGCCUGUGCCUAGACAACUGGCUUCCCGUGCCAGCCCCACAAGGGACUUGAGGACAUGAGAACCAUCGCAGCUGAUGGAGCGCUGGCGAGUACUGUGGGGGCUGCCGUGUGCAAGGACGAGGGAAGGGAGUGGGCAGGGGAGAGG
Molecule: long non-coding RNA, 562 nt
Organism: Fukomys damarensis (Damara mole-rat)
Lineage: Eukaryota; Metazoa; Chordata; Mammalia; Rodentia; Bathyergidae
Exons: 3
Source: RefSeq, a predicted model, not a curated record